Molecule: long non-coding RNA, 1484 nt
Organism: Bombus impatiens (common eastern bumble bee)
Lineage: Eukaryota; Metazoa; Arthropoda; Insecta; Hymenoptera; Apidae
Exons: 2
Source: RefSeq, a predicted model, not a curated record
GCUCGACGCAAAGCCGAGAGAACGAUGAUUAAAUUUCGAUCGUUCGUUGACGAUCGAACGACGUCAGUCGAACUCUACGGGAAUUGGGAAACGAGUGUCGUAUACGUUAUUCCGUUCACGAAACGAAUCCGGAGAAUGCCGGUAACGAGUUCGAUUAUCUCGGUUGCCAUGAGUCAGUUUUGUCCCGAAGCCGGUCCCUCGGUGUUGCGGGCCAGCCCGUCCGCUUCGUACGAGCCUCGAAACGUAACGGGUGUCUGGAUUCCCAGGAGGUUUUCUACCCCCUUUUCAAGGCUCAUUGCUAUGCACCGCUCGAAACUCUGCUAACGACCUUUGCACGCCGAGAGCCCCAACAUCCAGCCGACUUUUCGAUCCGGAACGAGCUUAUCGAGCCGCGCGAUUGCGUGGAUUUGAAAUAUUCGAUAUCGUAGCCUGGAUUUUGUUCGAUCCCAGCGGCUUAUUUUCAAAACGACUUAAAUCCUAGUUUAAAAAAGAAUAAGGAGAGAAGAAAUAAAAGCGGCAGCGGGCAGAAAGGUUCUUCGUGUGUGAUUUCGCACUGCAGCAAUCAAUAACAGAGAUUAAUCAGUGGACGAGAUUUGGCUCACUUACCCUAUAUUGCGAAAAAGACGAAGAUUUCUUCGAGAAACGAUUGUUAGGUUACCUAACAGAUAACAGAAAGAUAAGAGAAGUUUUCAAAUUUCCUUAACUUUUGCAGAUUUUUCAAACGACCAAAUACAGCGGAGUCUCGAUUAUCCUAGUCCCUUUUAACCAAAGUUUCGUAUUAUACGAGGUGCUUUGAACUAUGCCAUAACCUCAUCCUUUUUCAAAAAUUUAACUUUCAACGCGACUACGCAAAUGUAAAUAGAGAGGUACUGUGAAAACAGUUGAUCAAGCUUUCAACUGAUUAAAUAAUUAAUUCAACUUAAAUACACGCGCAACAUUACAUUAUCAAAAUGUUUUCUAAGAUUUUAUUCUAUGCUUUGUACGGUUUAUUCCGUCUUUCUACGAUUUAUGAACGCUAAUAGACCUAUCCGUAUUAUCCACGUUUUCGAUUAUCCGAUGUAGGACCGCAUCAUCAAAGUUAUACCGAACUAAUAAAUUCAGUCGCCCAACUUCGACUUCGAGCGGUGCAUAGCAAUAAGCCUUAACUCGACGGAAUUCCUUAGCAACCAACAAACUGCAAGUUCUUUUAAACAUUGUUUGUCGUGUCGUGUCAUACGUCUGAUAGAAAUAACGUCGCGCUCAUAACGGAUGGCGAAAUCCCCGAAGCAAAGGGAGGGUCGGUAUUUUCAGCGGAACGCAAACACCGGCAAACCGAACAAAUUGGCAAACAGUCAGCGAUGUGCAACCGUGCGAAGCAAUUACGGAUUUUGCGUGAACGACGCGUGCAAACUCUUUAUACACGCGCGAAAAGGACCGACAGAAUUUCCUUGAGCCACGGCACAAUGGCGUAGCCCAGUGGCUUUCCUAUUAAUUCUGAAAAAAAA